UUCCUUGCCCUGCAGAAAUGUCUACGAAGG
Molecule: non-coding RNA, 30 nt
Filed under: Mus musculus (house mouse)
Lineage: Eukaryota; Metazoa; Chordata; Mammalia; Rodentia; Muridae
Source: RNAcentral